This 440-nucleotide ribosomal RNA is filed under the name uncultured bacterium. RNAcentral describes it as "partial 16S ribosomal RNA". It matches the Rfam family "Bacterial small subunit ribosomal RNA", at positions 338 to 795 of the family's 1533-position model. The record is from RNAcentral.
CCUACGGGGGGCAGCAGUGGGGAAUAUUGCACAAUGGGGGAAACCCUGAUGCAGCGACGCCGCGUGAGUGAAGAAGUAUUUCGGUAUGUAAAGCUCUGUCAGCAGGGAAGAAAAUGACGGUACCUGACCAAGAAGCCCCGGCUAACUACGUGCCAGCAGCCGCGGUAAUACGUAGGGGGCAAGCGUUAUCCGGAUUUACUGGGUGUAAAGGGAGCGUAGACGGCAGGGCAAGUCUGGAGUGAAAGGCGGGGGCCCAACCCCCGGACUGCUCUGGAAACUGCCAGGCUGGAGUGCAGGAGAGGUAAGUGGAAUUCCUAGUGUAGCGGUGAAAUGCGUAGAUAUUAGGAGGAACACCAGUGGCGAAGGCGGCUUACUGGACUGUAACUGACGUUGAGGCUCGAAAGCGUGGGGAGCAAACAGGAUUAGAUACCCGGGUAGUC